Lynx canadensis (Canada lynx) is the source of this 297-nucleotide long non-coding RNA. RefSeq lists it as uncharacterized. The transcript has 3 exons. NCBI's taxonomy places the organism in Eukaryota, Metazoa, Chordata, Mammalia, Carnivora, Felidae. The record is from RefSeq and is a predicted model, not a curated record.
GCAAAAUGUGUUCCCAUAAAUGGCAGUUUCACUACUAAAUUCUGGGGAGAAACCAGGAGACAUGUAAGACAGACUCGCAUGGGGAAAAUGCAUCACGACCUACAUAAGAAUAGAGUCAACCAUGGGCAUGUGGGCCACAUGAUGGAAGGCCUCUGGAGGAAAAAAAGGAAAGAAACUCAUGUUAGUCAACAUCCAUUUUAUGCCAAAUAUCAAGACCUGUUUGCCUCAGAAGUAGAUUAGUGGAAUUCUUCAUCUGUUGCAUUAUUCUCGUUCUGGAAGGGAAAUCAUCAGGACAUC